This 549-nucleotide ribosomal RNA is filed under the name uncultured Alphaproteobacteria bacterium. RNAcentral describes it as "partial 16S ribosomal RNA". The record is from RNAcentral. Lineage: Bacteria; Pseudomonadati; Pseudomonadota; Alphaproteobacteria.
UUGGGAGCUCUCCCAUAUGGUCGACCUGCAGGCGGCCGCGAAUUCACUAGUGAUUCGUAUUACCGCGGCUGCUGGCACAGAGUUAGCCGGUGCUUAUUCUCCCGAUACUGUCAUUAUCAUCUCGGGUAAAAGAGCUUUACAACCCUAAGGCCUUCAUCACUCACGCGGCAUUGCUGGAUCAGGCUUUCGCCCAUUGUCCAAUAUUCCCUACUGCUGCCUCCCGUAGGAGUCUGGGCCGUGUCUCAGUCCCAGUGUGGCUGAUCAUCCUCUCAGACCAGCUAAGGAUCGUUGCCUUGGUGAGCCUUUACCCCACCAACUAGCUAAUCCUACGCGGGCUCAUCCCUGGGCGAUAAAUCUUUGGACUUUCGUCAUCAUCCGGUAUUAGCUUCAGUUUCCCGAAGUUAUUCCGAACCCAAGGGCAGAUUCCCACGCGUUACGCACCCGUGCGCCACUAGACCCGAAGGUCUCGUUCGACUUGCAUGUAUUAGGCAUGCCGCCAGCGUUCGUUCUGAGCCAUGAUCAAACUCUAAUCGAAUUCCCGCGGCCGCC